CAGGAGAGUAACCGGAUAAAUCUGUCUGUUAAUGUGUCACGUUCAGGUCAGAUUUCUGUCUUCAACAUCCUCAGUUUUCUUCUGGCAGCUUGUCCGUAUCUGCUGGCGACAGUCGUGCUGCUGUUCAAAUGCUACAGAGCGAGAGUUACAUCUACUGAAGACCAAAGCCAGUAUGCCGUAACAGAGGAACAAACUUCAACCUGAUUUCAUCAAUUCUUCAAACCGCAUGUAUAGAGUCACAGGAUGCUGGAGCCUCAGACUGAAGGCUGGGAAACUCGCAAGACUAACAGACACA
Sinocyclocheilus grahami is the source of this 295-nucleotide long non-coding RNA. RefSeq lists it as uncharacterized. Lineage: Eukaryota; Metazoa; Chordata; Actinopteri; Cypriniformes; Cyprinidae. The transcript has 3 exons. The record is from RefSeq and is a predicted model, not a curated record.